RNAcentral lists this microRNA precursor (267 nucleotides) under Olea europaea subsp. europaea. Lineage: Eukaryota; Viridiplantae; Streptophyta; Magnoliopsida; Lamiales; Oleaceae. The record is from RNAcentral.
GGUUCUUACCGAUUGAACUUUGCCAUUUGUACCUUGAUUUUUGACACGUUAUUUGACACUUGCUCUGUUUUCAAAUGUCAAAUGGAUGGAAAAACUAUUUGAAAAUUCUACUAUCCAAUAGGGUAACUUUGUCACGUGACAUUACCCUGCUGUACAAUUUAAAUUUCAAAUAAUUUUCCCAUCCAUUUGACACUUGACAACAAUGCAAGUGUUAAACAAUGGGUCCUAAAUCUGUGUACAAAUAGCAAAGCUUAAUCGAUAAGAACC